CCCGGGGUCGCGGCUGCGGAGAAGCGUCUCCUAGGCGUGCAAAUGAAGCACUUGACUCGAAUCAGACGCGGUGCCGCUUUCAACGGCAAAAAUCCUGCCUUCGUCACGGGGAAGGAAAAGCAAACGCAACCCGCUUCCGCUGCCUUCCCCACUUUGCGUCUCAGCCGAACCGACGAACCGACGUUCACACCGACACGCUUUCAGUCCUGACUGCCUGCAGGGAUUCUAUGCUGUCCUUCACAGCCCAAACCUUUGCUGCAGCCACGGGAAAGGCGACUAAGAUCCCGCUGUUGCCCCGUUACGUCCAUCUCCUGGAGGAGAGGCGGAUAGCAGCACCCGCUCUGCGCUGCGAGCUGUGCGUUCCAACGGAGCACAUCGGCCCCGCAAGUUGUGAACACAGGCACGGCCCCUGCCCCGCGGGAGCAGCAGGGAUCCAACCAGGCUGCUGGGAAUGGAGAAGUUAACCCACACUGUGGGUAAAAACUGCUGUGAAAAACCCCCUUCUGUACCCUGUUCUUCUACCUGCCUUUAACCCAUCACUAUUUGCAAUUAAUGCAAAUGUUUAUGUAACAGUACUAUUCUUUUUUUUUUUUCCCCUCUCGGUAAAAAUGUGUGACUAAGAAAUCAGUUUCUAAAUAACUACAACUUUCAGGCUGUUUAUUUGCCCAGAGCUGGUUUAUGGAGUAAUACUUCUUUGUCAGUAUCAUUAUUAUGAUUUUUCAGCAGCAACUCAGCAGGCAACGAACGCAUGGCCAGAGAGGCACUUAAGGAGGAGGGACUGAGCCAUUCAGGCAACUGAGAACAGCUACAGCCUCUGGGCAGCUGCCAGUGCUGGAAAACAUCGCUUAAUGCAGACAGGCUACAGAACUAAAGGCAAACAUGAGGAUGGGGGAACAAGGAUUAGGUCUCUCAUCUGUACCAAACAGCCCUUGCUGAGGAAAGCUCUGCAGCCAGCAGUACAAAGAAACAGCAGCGAUAUUCAAAUUUAACUGCAGAAGUAAUACUCCCUUUCUGCACUGGUGCCUUGGGGCUCUCUGAUUUAUUUACACAGAUCAAAAGAAACUCAAUUUAAAAUGACAGAGCAAAGAACCAAGCAGAAACUGUAUAAAGCUAAGUGCCAGAAUUCCACUGUAAUGAAAUGCCUCUGAUCUUAAAAUAGCUGAUAUUGGCAACUAUUUCAUCACAAUCAAGAUUUAAGGCUAUAUACAAACUCUGCAGGUAAAAAAAUCUCCUAUUCAUCACCAGGUUUGUUCAAAAACCAGUUGGACUAUUGCCUUCCAAUAGCAAGAAUGCUUUAACAAUUUCAUUCUUCGCUCAGUACAUUCUUGUUCAAAUCAUUUCGCUCUAUGAGUAACACAAAACUUCCCAAUGGCUUGAAAUUAAUUUCCCUUUUUGUUUGCUUUCUGCUUCUCUUCAUUACACAGAAUAGUUACAAAGCAGCAAUAAACCAAUCUCUGUUCUCUGACGAUACACACAGGUGUUCCUUCACUAAAUACUUUAAACCUGAAACACACCUUAUCAGUAUUAACAGACUACUGCUGAUGAUUAAGGUUUCUUGAACAUCAGACACUUCUAUUAAGCUUGUAAUUGAAAGCUCUGUAAAUUUGACUGUUUCAUAUGGGUCCCUAGAGCAAUUACAUUAAACUCAUGAACUACUGUU
Molecule: long non-coding RNA, 1660 nt
Organism: Meleagris gallopavo (turkey)
Lineage: Eukaryota; Metazoa; Chordata; Aves; Galliformes; Phasianidae
Source: RefSeq, a predicted model, not a curated record